AUCGUAAUGGUAAUGAAGUAACUGUUUCAAAGUAGAAAUAUAAUCUUAAUAUGGUAUUGAUAUAAAUAUAUCAAUGUUUUAUACCACAAAAUUAGUCAUUAAGUGGUGUCAUCCAAGUUCUAUCCUGUGAAAAGAAUAAAAAGAACCAACAAAUCUAUUGUUCAAAAUUAAUUCAUUACAAACAUUUCAAAUAAUGUAGAAAACAGUAGGAGUAACAUCUCUAUUUUACAUAUGCUAAAAAAGCAGCAUUUACAACAGGUCUGAAACUCAAAUUAUCAUUAUUAAGACUUGGUGGUAACCUCAGGAGAGCAUGAAAAAAUUCUCAUUUAAAACCUAAUUUUUUGAUAUAUUUUUUGGCUUCAAAAUUAAGUUGAUGAAUACUUGCAAAAACUGUUAUAACAAGAUGAUAUAAUGUCCAUACUGGAUAUGAUAAAUCUGAGGCUUUACCAGGUUUCCAUAAAUUCAUGUUAAACUUCACCUAGAGAAUAGUUUGGUGUUAUAAGAAUUCGAAAAGACUUAUUGGAAGUUCGAAAUGAGGUAUUAAUCACUUGCAUCAUAAAGGAUCUUUUUAGGAAUAGAGGAGUUGGUUUUUAACAGGAUACUCGGAUGUAUAAAAGAGUUGAGUGACUAACAUUCACAAGUUAAUAAAGACCUGCAAUAAAGUAGACCACCGAUACUUUUUUACUUGUUCAAGAACUGGUGAAUAAAUGUGAAAAUUAAUUUUAUUUCUAGUCUCAUGAAAAAAAAAUUAAUUACUCCACUGCAUAGUUUGUAGAAUCUAAACAUAUCUUACUGUUUGAUUAAAUAAAAAAAAUGUAUUUUGUGA
This is a long non-coding RNA of Diorhabda carinulata, 826 nucleotides long. RefSeq lists it as uncharacterized. The record is from RefSeq and is a predicted model, not a curated record. The transcript has 3 exons. Lineage: Eukaryota; Metazoa; Arthropoda; Insecta; Coleoptera; Chrysomelidae.